Molecule: non-coding RNA, 96 nt
Organism: Multifurca ochricompacta
Lineage: Eukaryota; Fungi; Basidiomycota; Agaricomycetes; Russulales; Russulaceae
Source: the annotation of a GenBank genome assembly
GGUACUGUGGCCGAGUGGUUAUGGCGUCACGUUUAGGUAAAAUACGACCUAAAUCCGUGAUGGGAAACCUCGCGAGUUCGAAUCUCGUCAGUGCCA